UUAGAGUUUGAUCCUGGCUCAGGACGAACGCUGGCGGCGUGCCUAAUACAUGCAAGUCGAGCGAGCUUGCCUAGAUGAUUUUAGUGCUUGCACUAAAUGAAACUAGAUACAAGCGAGCGGCGGACGGGUGAGUAACACGUGGGUAACCUGCCCAAGAGACUGGGAUAACACCUGGAAACAGAUGCUAAUACCGGAUAACAACACUAGACGCAUGUCUAGAGUUUGAAAGAUGGUUCUGCUAUCACUCUUGGAUGGACCUGCGGUGCAUUAGCUAGUUGGUAAGGUAACGGCUUACCAAGGCAAUGAUGCAUAGCCGAGUUGAGAGACUGAUCGGCCACAUUGGGACUGAGACACGGCCCAAACUCCUACGGGAGGCAGCAGUAGGGAAUCUUCCACAAUGGACGAAAGUCUGAUGGAGCAACGCCGCGUGAGUGAAGAAGGGUUUCGGCUCGUAAAGCUCUGUUGGUAGUGAAGAAAGAUAGAGGUAGUAACUGGCCUUUAUUUGACGGUAAUUACUUAGAAAGUCACGGCUAACUACGUGCCAGCAGCCGCGGUAAUACGUAGGUGGCAAGCGUUGUCCGGAUUUAUUGGGCGUAAAGCGAGUGCAGGCGGUUCAAUAAGUCUGAUGUGAAAGCCUUCGGCUCAACCGGAGAAUUGCAUCAGAAACUGUUGAACUUGAGUGCAGAAGAGGAGAGUGGAACUCCAUGUGUAGCGGUGGAAUGCGUAGAUAUAUGGAAGAACGCCAGUGGCGAAGGCGGCUCUCUGGUCUGCAACUGACGCUGAGGCUCGAAAGCAUGGGUAGCGAACAGGAUUAGAUACCCUGGUAGUCCAUGCCGUAAACGAUGAGUGCUAAGUGUUGGGAGGUUUCCGCCUCUCAGUGCUGCAGCUAAACGCAUUAAGCACUCCGCCUGGGGAGUACGACCGCAAGGUUGAAACUCAAAGGAAUGGACGGGGGCCCGCACAAGCGGAGGAACAUGUGGUUUAAUUCGAUGAUACGCGAGGAACCUUACCCGGGCUCAAACGGGGAGUGACUCAGGCAGAGACGCCUGUUUCCCACGGGACACUCCCCGAGGUGCUGCAUGGUUGUCGUCAGCUCGCGCCGUGAGGUGUCGGCUUAAGUGCCAUAACGAGCGCAACCCCCGCGUGCAGUUGCUAACAGAUAACGCUGAGGACUCUGCACGGACUGCCGGCGCAAGCCGCGAGGAAGGCGGGGAUGACGUCAAAUCAGCACGGCCCUUACGUCCGGAGCGACACACGUGUUACAAUGGCCGGUACAGCGGGAAGCCAGGCGGCGACGCCGGGCGGAACCCGAAAGUCGGUCUCAGUUCGGAUCGGAGUCUGCAACCCGACUCCGUGAAGCUGGAUUCGCUAGUAAUCGCGCAUCAGCCAUGGCGCGGUGAAUACGUUCCCGGGCCUUGCACACAAAGGCCGUCA
This 1434-nucleotide ribosomal RNA is filed under the name uncultured bacterium. RNAcentral's name for it is "partial 16S ribosomal RNA". It matches the Rfam family "Bacterial small subunit ribosomal RNA". The record is from RNAcentral.